RNAcentral lists this ribosomal RNA (639 nucleotides) under uncultured bacterium. RNAcentral's name for it is "bacterial SSU rRNA". It matches the Rfam family "Bacterial small subunit ribosomal RNA", at positions 232 to 885 of the family's 1533-position model. The record is from RNAcentral.
CGCGGCCUAUCAGCUUGUUGGUGAGGUAACGGCUCACCAAGGCAUCGACGGGUAGCUGGUCUGAGAGGACGAUCAGCCACACUGGGACUGAGACACGGCCCAGACUCCUACGGGAGGCAGCAGGAGGGAAUAUUGCGCAAUGGGCGAAAGCCUGACGCAGCGACGCCGCGUGGGGGAAGAAGGCCUUCGGGUCGUAAACCCCUUUCAGCAGGGACGAAAUUGACGGUACCUGCAGAAGAAGCGCCGGCCAACUACGUGCCAGCAGCCGCGGUAAUACGUAGGGCGCAAGCGUUGUCCGGAUCCAUUGGGCGUAAAGGGCUCGUAGGCGGUUUGGUAAGUCGGGUGUGAAAACUCAGGGCUCAACUCUGAGACGCCACUCGAUACUGCCAUGACUAGAGUCCGGUAGGGGAGUGUAGAAUUCCUGGUGUAGCAGUGAAAUGCGCAGAUAUCAGGAGGAAUACCGAUAGCGAAGGCAGCACUCUGGGCCGGUACUGACGCUGAGGAGCGAAAGCAUGGGGAGCAAACAGGAUUAGAUACCCUGGUAGUCCACGCCGUAAACGUUGGGCACUAGGUGUGGGUUCCAUCCAACGGGAUCCGUGCCGUAGCUAACGCAUUAAGUGCCCCGCCUGGGGAGUACGG